This 477-nucleotide ribosomal RNA is filed under the name uncultured bacterium. RNAcentral describes it as "bacterial SSU rRNA". It matches the Rfam family "Bacterial small subunit ribosomal RNA", at positions 30 to 525 of the family's 1533-position model. The record is from RNAcentral.
AUUGAACGCUGGCGGCAUGCCUUACACAUGCAAGUCGAACGGCAGCGCGGGAGCAAUCCUGGUGGCGAGUGGCGAACGGGUGAGUAAUAUAUCGGAACGUGCCCGGUCGUGGGGAUAACGUAGCGAAAGCUACGCUAAUACCGCAUACGAUCUACGGAUGAAAGCGGGGGGAUCACAAGACCUCGCGCGAUUGGAGCGGCCGAUAUCAGAUUAGGUAGUUGGUGAGGUAAAGGCUCACCAAGCCGACGAUCUGUAGCUGGUCUGAGAGGACGACCAGCCACACUGGGACUGAGACACGGCCCAGACUCCUACGGGAGGCAGCAGUGGGGAAUAUUGGACAAUGGGCGAAAGCCUGAUCCAGCAAUGCCGCGUGAGUGAUGAAGGCCUUAGGGUUGUAAAGCUCUUUUACCCGAGAUGAUAAUGACAGUAUCGGAGAAUAAGCUCCGGCUAACUCCGUAGCCAGCAGCCGCGGUAAAG